This 688-nucleotide ribosomal RNA is filed under the name uncultured Actinomycetales bacterium. Its description in RNAcentral is "bacterial SSU rRNA". It matches the Rfam family "Bacterial small subunit ribosomal RNA", at positions 67 to 765 of the family's 1533-position model. The record is from RNAcentral. Lineage: Bacteria; Bacillati; Actinomycetota; Actinomycetes; Actinomycetales.
CGGAAAGGCCUCUUGCUUGCAAGGGGUACUCGAGUGGCGAACGGGUGAGUAACACGUGGGUGAUCUGCCUUGCACUCUGGGAUAAGCUUGGGAAACUGGGUCUAAUACCGGAUAGGAACCGUCUUUAGUGUGGUGGUUGGAAAGUUUUUUCGGUGCAAGAUGAGCUCGCGGCCUAUCAGCUUGUUGGUGGGGUAAUGGCCUACCAAGGCGUCGACGGGUAGCCGGCCUGAGAGGGUGUACGGCCACAUUGGGACUGAGAUACGGCCCAGACUCCUACGGGAGGCAGCAGUGGGGAAUAUUGCACAAUGGGCGGAAGCCUGAUGCAGCGACGCCGCGUGGGGGAUGACGGCCUUCGGGUUGUAAACUCCUUUCGACAGGGACGAAGCGUAAGUGACGGUACCUGUAUAAGAAGCACCGGCUAACUACGUGCCAGCAGCCGCGGUAAUACGUAGGGUGCGAGCGUUGUCCGGAAUUACUGGGCGUAAAGAGCUCGUAGGUGGUUUGUCGCGUCGUCUGUGAAAUUCCGGGGCUUAACUUCGGGCGUGCAGGCGAUACGGGCAUAACUUGAGUACUGUAGGGGUAACUGGAAUUCCUGGUGUAGCGGUGAAAUGCGCAGAUAUCAGGAGGAACACCGAUGGCGAAGGCAGGUUACUGGGCAGUUACUGACGCUGAGGAGCGAAAGCAUGGG